CCUCAGGAUAAAACAAUUGUUUAUGAGAAAGAAAACUCGAAAGAUAAGAGGUUGCGACAAAUACUGACAAUAUUU
Molecule: non-coding RNA, 75 nt
Filed under: bovine gut metagenome
Source: RNAcentral